GGGGGGGGGGGGGUCGUUAAAUGUCAUAUCCUUGACAUUUAUGUAUACAUCCGGUUACUUCGGUAAAUUCCGUAAUUACGAGUAUCCCGAAAACGUCGUAUAACCCAUGCAUCGAUACAACUAAUUGAAAGAUGUCAAAUUAAUUAACAGAUACUUAACGAUUUUGCGGCAUCGCACUAUAAACGUUUGAAGUCGGUUUGUUGGAGUUCCUGUCAAUAUAAUACUUCCAUG
Molecule: long non-coding RNA, 231 nt
Filed under: Mytilus galloprovincialis (Mediterranean mussel)
Lineage: Eukaryota; Metazoa; Mollusca; Bivalvia; Mytilida; Mytilidae
Source: RNAcentral